RNAcentral lists this ribosomal RNA (700 nucleotides) under uncultured bacterium. Its description in RNAcentral is "bacterial SSU rRNA". It matches the Rfam family "Bacterial small subunit ribosomal RNA", at positions 94 to 823 of the family's 1533-position model. The record is from RNAcentral.
AGUGGCGGACGGGUGAGUAACACGUAAGAAUUUGCCUCUAGGAGGGGGACAACAACUGGAAACGGUUGCUAAUACCCCAUAUGCUUUCGAGUGAAACGGAUUUUUCCGCCUAAAGAGAAGCUUGCGGCUGAUUAGCUUGUUGGUGAGGUAAUGGCUCACCAAGGCGACGAUCAGUAUCUGGUUUGAGAGGACGAUCAGACACACUGGAACUGAGACACGGUCCAGACUCCUACGGGAGGCAGCAGUGGGGAAUUUUCCGCAAUGGGCGAAAGCCUGACGGAGCAAUACCGCGUAAGGGAUGACGGCCUAUGGGUUGUAAACCUCUUUUUUCAGGGAGGAAUCAAAUGACGUGUACCUGAAGAAUAAGCAUCGGCUAACUCCGUGCCAGCAGCCGCGGUAAGACGGGGGAUGCAAGUGUUAUCCGGAAUCACUGGGCGUAAAGCGUCUGUAGGUGGUCAAAUAAGUCAACUGUUAAAUCUUGAGGCUCAACCUCAAAAUCGCAGUCGAAACUAUUAGACUAGAGUAUAGUAGGGGUAAAGGGAAUUUCCAGUGGAGCGGUGAAAUGCGUAGAGAUUGGAAAGAACACCGAUGGCGAAGGCACUUUACUGGGCUAUUACUAACACUCAGAGACGAAAGCUAGGGUAGCAAAUGGGAUUAGAUACCCCAGUAGUCCUAGCCGUAAACAAUGGAUACUAGAUGU